GUGAGCAGGUGGGCGGGGCCCGGGGGUCGCUGCAGUGUUAGUGCUCUCCGUGGAGGCGUGAGCAGGUGGGCGGGGCCCGGGGGUCGCUGCAGUGUUAGUGCUCUCCGUGGAGGCGUGAGCAGGUGGGCGGGGCCCGGGGGUCGCUGCAGUGUUAGUGCUCUCCGUGGAGGCGUGAGCAGGUGGGCGGGGCCCCGGGGGUCGCUGCAGUGUUAGUGCUCGCCGUGGAGGCGUGAGCAGGUGGGCGGGGCCCCGGGGUCGCUGCAGUGUUAGUGCUCGCCGUGGAGGCGUGAGCAGGUGGGCGGGGCCCGGGGUCGCUGCAGUGUUAGUGCUCGCCGUGGAGGCGUGAGCAGGUGGGCGGGGCCCGGGGUCGCUGCAGUGUUAGUGCUCGCCGUGGAGGCGUGAGCAGGUGGGCGGGGCCCGGGGGUCGCUGCAGUGUUAGUGCUCGCCGUGGAGGCGUGAGCAGGUGGGCGGGGCCCGGGGGUCGCUGCAGUGUUAGUGCUCGCCGUGGAGGCGUGAGCAGGUGGGCGGGGCCCGGGGGUCGCUGCAGUGUUAGUGCUCGCCGUGGAGGCGUGAGCAGGUGGGCGGGGCCCGGGGGUCGCUGCAGUGUUAGUGCUCGCCGUGGAGGCGUGAGCAGGUGGGCGGGGCCCGGGGGUCGCUGCAGUGUUAGUGCUCGCCGUGGAGGCGUGAGCAGGUGGGCGGGGCCCCGGGGGUCGCUGCAGUGUUAGUGUUCGCCGUGGAGGCGUGAGCAGGUGGGCGGGGCCCGGGGGUCGCUGCAGUGUUAGUGCUCGCCGUGGAGGCGUGAGCAGGUGGGCGGGGCCCGGGGUCGCUGCAGUGUUAGUGUUCGCCGUGGAGGCGUGAGCAGGUGGGCGGGGCCCGGGGGUCGCUGCAGUGUUAGUGCUCGCCGUGGAGGCGUGAGCAGGUGGGCGGGGCCCCGGGGUCGCUGCAGUGUUAGUGCUCGCCGUGGAGGCGUGAGCAGGUGGGCGGGGCCCCGGGGUCGCUGCAGUGUUAGUGCUCGCCGUGGAGGCGUGAGCAGGUGGGCGGGGCCCGGGGGUCGCUGCAGUGUUAGUGCUCGCCGUGGAGGCGUGAGCAGGUGGGCGGGGCCCCGGGGUCGCUGCAGUGUUAGUGCUCGCCGUGGAGGCGUGAGCAGGUGGGCGGGGCCCGGGGGUCGCUGCAGUGUUAGUGCUCUCCGUGGAGGCGUGAGCAGGUGGGCGGGGCCCGGGGGUCGCUGCAGUGUUAGUGCUCGCCGUGGAGGCGUGAGCAGGUGGGCGGGGCCCCGGGGGUCGCUGCAGUGUUAGUGUUCGCCGUGGAGGCGUGAGCAGGUGGGCGGGGCCCGGGGGUCGCUGCAGUGUUAGUGCUCGCCGUGGAGGCGUGAGCAGGUGGGCGGGGCCCGGGGUCGCUGCAGUGUUAGUGUUCGCCGUGGAGGCGUGAGCAGGUGGGCGGGGCCCGGGGGUCGCUGCAGUGUUAGUGCUCGCCGUGGAGGCGUGAGCAGGUGGGCGGGGCCCCGGGCCUCCGGGACACUCCUGUAUUAGUGCUCCUGUAAUAGUGCAGUCCUGGGAGCACCGAGGGAGGGCUCACACCAGAAACCUUCCCUGGGGAUGAAGGGAAGCAGUGACAGCCAGCACCCAAGGGCUGCUGUUUUCUUCCUCCCGACUUCUUCCUUUUUCUUUUUUUUUUUAAUUACCAGAGGAACACGUGCUUAGGGUAAAGCAUGGCAGAUAUAAAACAUGGCAGGUCAGUGGCCGGCUCUGGCCUCAGCCCCAUGGCCCACGUUUUGUGCCUUUUCCUCCGGGCGCGUCUCUGUGCUCCGUGAAUGUUACGUGAAAGAAAGUAAAGCCUGGCAGUGUGUUGAAAGGAAAGUGAGAGUGAACGUCGAGGGCCUCUUCGUGUGUCAUUUACUGUAUUACCAGAUGAAGACAGAAAAACUACACGGUCACAGAGAUGCAGUAAAAGAAUUUGAUGAAAUUCCA
Long non-coding RNA from Homo sapiens (human), 1967 nucleotides. RefSeq lists it as uncharacterized. The record is from RefSeq and is a predicted model, not a curated record. The transcript is spliced from 2 exons. Lineage: Eukaryota; Metazoa; Chordata; Mammalia; Primates; Hominidae.